Molecule: ribosomal RNA, 253 nt
Filed under: uncultured bacterium
Lineage: Bacteria
Description: partial 16S ribosomal RNA
Rfam family: Bacterial small subunit ribosomal RNA
Source: RNAcentral
UACGUAGGGUGCAAGCGUUGUCCGGAAUCAUUGGGCGUAAAGAGCGUGUAGGCGGCCCGGUAAGUCCGCUGUGAAAGUCGGGGGCUCAACCCUCGAAUGCCGGUGGAUACUGUCGGGCUAGAGUGCGGAAGAGGCGAGUGGAAUUCCUGGUGUAGCGGUGAAAUGCGCAGAUAUCAGGAGGAACACCGAUUGCGAAGGCAGCUCGCUGGGACGUAACUGACGCUGAGACGCGAAAGCGUGGGGAGCAAACGGG